AGUCGAGCGGACCGACGGGAGCUUGCUCCCUUAGGUCAGCGGCGGACGGGUGAGUAACACGUGGGUAACCUGCCUGUAAGACUGGGAUAACUCCGGGAAACCGGGGCUAAUACCGGAUGCUUGAUUGAACCGCAUGGUUCAAUCAUGAAAGGCGGCUUCGGCUGCCGUUUACAGAUGGACCCGCGGCGCAUUAGCUAGUUGGUGAGGUAACGGCUCACCAAGGCGACGAUGCGUAGCCGACCUGAGAGGGUGAUCGGCCACACUGGGACUGAUACACGGCCCAGACUCCUACGGGAGGCAGCAGUAGGGAAUCUUCCGCAAUGGACGAAAGUCUGACGGAGCAACGCCGCGUGAGUGAUGAAGGUUUUCGGAUCGUAAAGCUCUGUUGUUAGGGAAGAACAAGUACCGUUCGAAUAGGGCGGUACCUUGACGGUACCUAACCAGAAAGCCACGGCUAACUACGUGCCAGCAGCCGCGGUAAGACGUACGUGGCAAGCGUUGUCCGGAAUUAUUGUGCGUAAAGCGCGCGCACGCGGUUUCUUAAGUCUGAUGUGAAAGCCUGCGGCUCAACCGGGGAGGGUCAUUGGAUACUGGGGUAACUUGAGUGCAUAAGAGGAGAGU
This 621-nucleotide ribosomal RNA is filed under the name Bacillus sp. (in: firmicutes). RNAcentral describes it as "bacterial SSU rRNA". It matches the Rfam family "Bacterial small subunit ribosomal RNA", at positions 60 to 662 of the family's 1533-position model. Lineage: Bacteria; Bacillati; Bacillota; Bacilli; Caryophanales; Bacillaceae. The record is from RNAcentral.